AACCGAAGAAAAAACAAAGGAAAAUAAAGGAAAAUGAAUUGGGGGUACAAUGUCCCUGAGGGAGUGUAGCCGACAAAGGCGUUGAGCAUGAGGCGGCGAAGCCUCUCAAACAGGCCUCAAACCACCACCAAACUAUUCCUCUUAACACCCUCUUUCUGUUUACAGCCUUAGUUCCUCCUAAACUCCAUCAGAUUUUUUGAAUCCAAACAAAAUAUCUAAGAACCCUAAAAAGAAAUUUCGAAAUUAAAUAGAUGUAUAGGUCUAAAUCAAACUCAAACCUUAGGGGUUUGGUUCGUCCCUCUCAGUGCUACAUUGCGGUCAGUGUUUUGAAGCAAAAAGAGAAGAUGGAGACCUACUUGCAAUGCUGCAAUUUUCCUUGGAAUUUGUUGGAGCUUGAAGACAAUAAUGAAUACAGAAAAUCAGAGAUUAUGUGAAAGAAUUUCUAUGAUGGUUGUGCAGUGCUUGAACUGGUAUGGCUUUAUGGGAUUUUAUUGCAUACUGUUGAGUAGCUAUGUCAUUAGUUCAUAUGGAUUGGAAUUGGAGUUAUGUGAAUGAAUUGUUGUGUUGAAAUUGUGUAGGCUAUGUUUUGAAUUGAGUGCCAUGGGAAAUUAGGUAUUGUAUUGAACAUGUUGGAUUGAGAUAUAUGUUAACUUGCACUUCUUGUGAAUUAGUAGACAAUAUUGCAUGAAUGUGUAUAGGUAGGCCAUGGUAUAUUGGAUGGUAUAUUUGGUGUGAAUUGGAUUGUAAAUGGUUAGGUGUUAAUGGAAAUGUCUUGAACUUGCUAUGGGUUGUUAUGGAUGCUUACUAUUGAAUUUCUAUUGUUUUGAGUUUCUGUCA
Lathyrus oleraceus (garden pea) is the source of this 837-nucleotide long non-coding RNA. RefSeq lists it as uncharacterized. The transcript is spliced from 2 exons. The record is from RefSeq and is a predicted model, not a curated record. NCBI's taxonomy places the organism in Eukaryota, Viridiplantae, Streptophyta, Magnoliopsida, Fabales, Fabaceae.